AAUUAUUCCAAGUCCAUGAGUAAAAGUAGCAUGGGCCCAAGGGUUUGAGCAGCAGGAAUGCUUAAUUAAAAAAGAAAUGUGUGAAAUUAAGUACUUCAGUGAGUGAAAUUAGGUCCCCUGCUUCCAGGGUGCUGAGGGUAGUUCAGCAUUUUAUAUCCAACCUGAGCCCCCUGGACUUUUGCCUCUAGCAUGUCAAUCAGACGAGUAUAUAGAGCCCAGGGGCUUAGAGAGUAAGGAUGUUGGGCAGUGGAGCCUCCUUCAGGCAAACUCCGCUUCACUGAGGGAUGCUUGGAGCGCAGAGAGCAUGGUCACUGAUAAUUAAUGAGGAUGACUAGCAGAGGAACAGGUUGGGAAAUGCUGGGAGGCCUUGAGGGAAAUGAGUAGCUUUAUUUAGGCAGGUUCUAAGUAACGGCAUGCAGGCUGCUGAGAUGGGGCUUGACAGUUCCAAAGGUGGUUCACUCCCAUUCCUGCCUCAGAUGCUAUUCAGAAGGGAUCCCCCUUCAAAGUCCUGUUGGACUUAACUGUGUGCAUUCCUUAAAUGGUCAUAGCCCCUUCCUCUACAUAGGGCUUCUCUACACUGUCCCAAUGCCCCCUAACCACAUCUUGGGAGGCUUGUCUGUUGUUUUGGGUCAACUUCUGAUCACUGGGUCAGGAUAUAGGUGUUCUGUUAACUCACAGGUGGGAGAAUAUCCCUAGAAACCCUCAAUCCUCAGGCCCUAACAUCCAAACACCAUCUCAGUGGCAGGUCCUUUGCAACAAAUCUGGGCCUCACACACAUUCAGGGUUCAUUUGUUUUCCAGGCAAGGAGAGGAUAUUAAUAGAUGCAAACAUUUUCUAAGAAAGCUCAUCCCCAUCUCUAAUUUUAGUAGCUGACCAUCGUUGAGGACCUGCUAGGUGCUAGGCCCUGUGCUAAACACUUCUCCAACACUAAAGCUUCCUUCCAGCUUGAUAGGUACCGACUGUCAUUAUCUCCACUUUACAGAUGAACAGGCUCGUGUAUGAAGAUGGCAAGUAAAUUAUCCAAAGUCACACAGGCGGUUCAGGACCUUCUUUCCACUGCGCUGUCGCUCACCAUGGCGUCUACUAGGCACAGACUUACUCUCACUGGUCAGGAACUCAUUUACCACUUAACGGACAGUGUUGAGCUCUGACUUUGUGCCAGGCACCAUUCUGGGGAUACCACAACCAAGAAGAUGCUAUCCCUUCCCCAGCAAGCUCGGUCUAGUGCUAGAGACAGAUGUGUCCACAAACAGUAGUGCUAUAGGGUGACAGAUGCUGUAAUAAAAACGUCCAGGGGACUGUUUGUGGAUACACAGUGAUAAGAGCAGUCAGUAUUACAAUCAUGAGACCCAGCAGAGUGCCUGGCAUAACAUAUAUCUGUUGACUGAAUGAAGGAGGAGACACCUGGCGUGAGGAACCAGGAGGUAGCAGAGGCUGAAAGGUGUUCCACAUAGUGGCUGUGGAUGUGAGGGAGAACAGGCUGUUGUAGGGGACUGCAAGAGGCUUAGUAUGGUUUCGGGUUGGUGGGGGUUCGGGUUGGGGCUGGAGGUCGGCAGCAGGGAGGCUUAGUGAAGGCCCAGUAGAUCCUGAAAGGCCCUCCUUCAGGCCAUGUGUCACCCUAAGCUAGUUAGCUCCUAGAGGUGAUAAGUGGAGGAGCAGCGUGGUCUGACUUGCGGGGAGAAAUUUUGGCAGGUCAGCUGCAGUAGUCUACUUGGAAAUCUUACCUAGAUAAGUGAGGAAACCAUCAAAAGAAUGAUUUAGGUGAGGAACACAGCCCAUUUGAUUUUGCAGUUUUAUUCUUGGUCAAACCUAGAUGUGUGAUUCUGGAGCUAAGACUUAGCACUGCCCUCGAAGAGUCUGUAAUCCUUGGUGGGUGACGUGAACGAGCAGCUUGAUCCUCACAUGUUACACAUGUGAAAGCUGAAAUUCAGAGAGGCAGAGCCACCAAGGCAGAAGGGACACAGUCAGGACUGGGCUUCUUGAUAAUCAGUCCCAAUCUCUUUCCUUCUCUCCCUCUCUUUAAGUGUAUUUUCCUACUGUGCUAGGCCUUUACAUCUCACUCCAUCAAUUGAGCUUUCAACUGGGGCAUCUGUUUAAGAAAACACUGCCAGGUUCUCUGUAAGAGUUGGGUUGAGAGAGUCUUCAUGACAUAAUUCUCUUCCUAGAUGGAGAAAUGACAUGCGUGGUGAAGAGGCUUCCUGCCCUCCAAGCUCCAUGGCUUUGUGUGAACCACUAAUGUUGUCACAGUCCUCUGUUCUGUUUUAGGAAAAGAAUCCUGAUUUCUAUUACCAGUCAUGAUGGAGCAGUAAACUGGAAAAAAAAAAAGAAACUAUUUUCAGACGUUGGAAAUAGCAGAGCACUGUGAUCCUUAAGAGAAACAAGCAAGAGAACCCUGAGUUUCCUCAACAGCUUUUAGGAAUGCAUCUCACCUUGAACGUGGGAUUUUGUUGAAUUUGAGAAAAAUGAAAACUGGAGGAAA
Molecule: long non-coding RNA, 2479 nt
Organism: Aethalodelphis obliquidens (Pacific white-sided dolphin)
Lineage: Eukaryota; Metazoa; Chordata; Mammalia; Artiodactyla; Delphinidae
Exons: 3
Source: RefSeq, a predicted model, not a curated record